AUACGUAGGGUGCGAGCGUUGUCCGGAAUUACUGGGCGUAAAGAGCUCGUAGGUGGUUUGUCGCGUCGUCUGUGAAAUUCCGGGGCUUAACUCCGGGCGUGCAGGCGAUACGGGCAUAACUUGAGUACUGUAGGGGAGACUGGAAUUCCUGGUGUAGCGGUGAAAUGCGCAGAUAUCAGGAGGAACACCGGGGGCGAAGGCGGGUCUCUGGGAAGUAACUGACGCUGAGGAGCGAAAGCAUGGGUAGCGAACAGGAUUAGAUACCCUGGUAGUCCAUGCCGUAAACGGUGGGCGCUAGGUGUAGGGGUCUUCCACGACUUCUGUGCCGUAGCUAACGCAUUAAGCGCCCCGCCUGGGGAGUACGGCCGCAAGGCUAAAACUCAAAGGAAUUGACGGGG
RNAcentral lists this ribosomal RNA (398 nucleotides) under uncultured bacterium. RNAcentral describes it as "partial 16S ribosomal RNA". It matches the Rfam family "Bacterial small subunit ribosomal RNA", at positions 523 to 918 of the family's 1533-position model. The record is from RNAcentral.